UUGAGUCAUACGACAAAAAUUAAAAGGGAAAGUUAGCCUAAAAACUUUGGUAUUAUAUAAGCGAACUAUUAGAGUGAGGUGAGAUAAGACUGAGUACAUCAAAGAUAUAUGUUAAUGAAAUCCAAUUUAUAGAACUAUCGAAUUGUCGGAAAUUUUUCUUAAAAGUUAAUCUAAAGUGCGAGGAGUGAAACACGUAUAGCUUCCCUUCAACGAAGGGUUUUUUUCUUGGGUUUAGGCCCCUAGGGCUUGAGGCUCGGACUGGUAUCUUGUCCGGAAUCACCGAUCUCACCAAUAUCCGAUUCUGAACCAAGAGUCUCGCCCUCUCGAUUUUCCGCUAACCUGGCGCACCAUCAUCCAUUUAUAUCUCGGUGAGCCACCGGGGUACCCAUCUCAAGACACAGAGAGAGGAACUCACACUAGUUGUCGCCGCUGGACAGUUCCACAGCAGGGUACACCUCCAU
Armigeres subalbatus is the source of this 461-nucleotide long non-coding RNA. RefSeq lists it as uncharacterized. Lineage: Eukaryota; Metazoa; Arthropoda; Insecta; Diptera; Culicidae. The record is from RefSeq and is a predicted model, not a curated record. The transcript has 3 exons.